AACAGAUGGAUUUAGUAAAUUACAGCCUGCAGAUGAAUUGUAUGAGGAGUCAGUUUGGGAUGGAGGCUUAAAAUACACAGAAAUUUUCUGUGCUGUAGCUUUUUUCUUGCUGUCAAACAGUGCCUGGUAAAUGCAUAACUCGUGUGAUGUUAGCUUUCUGCACUGAUUGAUUUGUAAAAACUAUUCCAUCCCAAAUUGCCAGCUCUUUGGGUCUCAGCCUACAACCCUACUCAGCCAGAAGACUCUGUCCUCUAGGCGUUCGGCAGCAGGCUCACGCUCGAGCGGUGGAAGUCCUCUAUUUCUACAGGACAAACAAGUAUGUGCUCUGGGUCAUUGCAUGCUGGGCCCAGCCGACCUACCUGCCUGGGUGUUGCUCUCCCAGGUGAGUCCUGUGGGGUCUGAUGUGAAUGUUAUCUCUGCUACCUUCCCCUUUCGUCUGCCCAGAACUGCAGCAGGGGCA
This 460-nucleotide long non-coding RNA is filed under the name Chloebia gouldiae (Gouldian finch). RNAcentral describes it as "Erythrura gouldiae (Gouldian finch) lncRNA (ENSEGOG00005012445.1)". The record is from RNAcentral. Lineage: Eukaryota; Metazoa; Chordata; Aves; Passeriformes; Passeridae.